UGAAUAUCCCUCAAACAAAGGAUUUUAUAGGAUGCUAAUAUACAGGAUAGAGGAUAUGCCAAAAAUCUGUGUGGGUCAAAAAGUGACUGGAAGGAAGAAAAGAAUCCACCAAAGAAAAUCCUUAGAGGAAAAUUCUGUCACAUAGAAAGAUUUCACCUCAGCUUCAGCGGAUCCUUGAACCACAAAUAGCUGCAGGCUGGGAAAGUAUUCUGGGGAAUAUGGUUGUGUUCUGUAAAUAUUGGCUGUGGGCAAUGUUGAAGGACGUGAGACUACGUGCAUGUUCAUUUUGAGCUGGACCAGCCAUUCUUGUGUAUCUGUUAUUUGUGUGUUUUCAAAAAGAAAAAAAAAAGAAAAAAAAAGAAAAGCUCUCUGAGAGACACUUCUCUCUUUCUAUUUUUUGUUAUUCCAAUCCAGUCUGUUUUCGGGGCCAGGGAGGGAGACACUGGAGGAUCUCAGUGCCCCUAGGCAGAUGGCGAAUGAGGGAGAAGUGCCUGCGGGGCUGAGGCUGGCGGCGUCUCUUUCAGACCAACAUGCCUUGGUCCCCCUGCAGCUGGGAAGAGCACAGAGCUUGUUAGUAAGGUACAGGUGUCAGCAGAUAAUGAACAGGAUUGUUGUAAAAAAACAAAACAAACAAAAAAACAUGGAAUAAGAAACAAUUUAUUUAUGAUGUAUUGACAAGGAUAUGGAAAAAAUCCCAAGAGACCAUAACAGGAAGACACAAUAUCAUGGCUAAUAACAUGCUAAAUAAAUUUUAUUUUAUGAUGAAAC
RNAcentral lists this long non-coding RNA (768 nucleotides) under Gallus gallus (chicken). The record is from RNAcentral. Lineage: Eukaryota; Metazoa; Chordata; Aves; Galliformes; Phasianidae.